Molecule: long non-coding RNA, 860 nt
Organism: Lathyrus oleraceus (garden pea)
Lineage: Eukaryota; Viridiplantae; Streptophyta; Magnoliopsida; Fabales; Fabaceae
Exons: 2
Source: RefSeq, a predicted model, not a curated record
UAAGCACAAAAGUUACCCCCUUAUAAUAUAUAUUUUUGGUUUAUCCAAAACUCAGUGUUAAAAUUGUAUGCGGGGACAAAAAAAAAUAUUACUGCCUAUAUUGCAGAGAGUGUCGGAUAUUUAACCCAUAAAUAAAAGAUAAAAGGAACUAAAAACACACAAAACCAAACCCAUCACCCCACUUUAUGGAUCAAAACUUCUCCUUUUUCCAGCAAAAAAUCAAGAACAUGUGAUGAACAUGUUGAAUGUUCAUCACGAACUUUCCUGAUUUAUUCACCCUUCACCAAAAAACCAAAGUGAAAACGCAACCUUACCCUAAAAUCACAUCCCAACCCCAAAUCAAACAUCAAUUCCAACAAAAAUACAAGAAAUCGAGCAGAUCAAGUACCCUAACCCUAACAAAAACCCUAACCUCAAUCCAUUAAAAAUAACUCAUAUUACAAGGAAUUUAAUACAAAUUAACAUAGGGGAAAUAUAAAUUGAGCAUGAUAAUGACAUAAGAACAUGAAAAGGCUACCAAAGGAAACUCCCACGAGGGUCUUCAAGCUCCAACGCGACAAUGUCGAUUUUUGGUGAGGCCAAAAAUGUCAGGACUUGCUCACAUGCUUGGAAUUGGCUUGAGGACUUGGGAAAACCAUAGAGCAAGGAAUUUGGGAUUUGGAGGCUUGUACACUUGAAAACAAGUGCAAAACGUUUGAAUUUCAUUUGGUCCUUUGUACCUUUAGACUUGUAAACCUUUUGUUGAAUACUUGUAAUUUGAAAAUGUUGGCUUGUACCUUUGUACCAAUAAAACAAAGUAAUUUCCUAAUUAAAUUAUUGAAUUAUACCUCUUAAGUCAAAAAAAAAUUUACCUUUCAAAA